AUGACAUUAAACAGCAUGUGUGAGGAUGUGUACCGUGUUGUCAAAGCUUUUGCUACGAGAGGAGAGUGGGUGAAUGCUGAAGCAAAGCACUAUACUCAAGCCCUGUGACAGAUGAGAGACUUUAAACGUAAUGGGUUGAAUCUUACUUUAACUAAGAGAGAGUAGAUGCAGCGUGUGAGAGUCCAAAUUGAUGAGCUAAGCUUGUGCUAUACCCAAAAUCUACAAGAGGAUUGUUCUUUCCUUGUCUUCACUGAGACUGAGUUGGCUGGGGUACCACAAGAGUUUCU
This 287-nucleotide long non-coding RNA is filed under the name Rosa chinensis. Its description in RNAcentral is "sRNA RchiOBHm_Chr4g0431161". Lineage: Eukaryota; Viridiplantae; Streptophyta; Magnoliopsida; Rosales; Rosaceae. The record is from RNAcentral.